GUGCCAGCCGCCGCGGUAAUACAGAGGUCCCAAGCGUUGUUCGGAUUCAUUGGGCGUAAAGGGUGCGUAGGUGGCAUGGUAAGUCGGGUGUGAAAUCCCGGGGCUCAACCCCGGAACUGCACUCGAUACUGCCGUGCUCGAGUACUGGAGAGGAGACUGGAAUUUACGGUGUAGCAGUGAAAUGCGUAGAUAUCGUAAGGAAGACCGGUGGCGAAGGCUAGUCUCUGGACAGUUACUGACACUGAGGCACGAAGGCCAGGGGAGCAAACGGGAUUAGAUACCCCCGUAGUCC
This 292-nucleotide ribosomal RNA is filed under the name uncultured bacterium. RNAcentral describes it as "partial 16S ribosomal RNA". It matches the Rfam family "Bacterial small subunit ribosomal RNA", at positions 505 to 796 of the family's 1533-position model. The record is from RNAcentral.